RNAcentral lists this long non-coding RNA (236 nucleotides) under Elaeis guineensis (African oil palm). RNAcentral describes it as "long non-coding RNA (EGUI_LNC029837)". Lineage: Eukaryota; Viridiplantae; Streptophyta; Magnoliopsida; Arecales; Arecaceae. The record is from RNAcentral.
UUAGAGGGCUUUACCUCUUCUAGAGAUGUAGACAACCUUGGCAAUCAGUGUUGACCAGUUCUAGUUGCUCCUGCAGUAGGUCCAAGCAUUGACUAUAGUAGUGUAGGGUCUGAAAUAGGUGGCUAUCUAGCAGCAACAACCAUAGAUCCUUGGCAUGAUUGAACCUUCUACUUUCUCCAUAGAGUCCAUAGUGGAGUCUUCAUUCUCACUCCCUUAGCUUUAGGAGAGCUCCCCAC